AUUAGUUAUCUUAGAAAGUCUUGCUGAUUGCUGAAAUAAAACUACAUAGGGAACAAUUUUGACAAUGAUUGAAUUUAGUAGUGUCAGCCCUUUGAUUAUGACCCGUGUAUAUAGCAAAAUCCUAAAUACACCGUUUGGUGGUGCGCCUGUCAAAUGCGGAACGUACAGAUAAGGUUAUAGCUAACAGGUGAAUAUACUUAUGGU
RNAcentral lists this long non-coding RNA (204 nucleotides) under Mytilus galloprovincialis (Mediterranean mussel). The record is from RNAcentral. Lineage: Eukaryota; Metazoa; Mollusca; Bivalvia; Mytilida; Mytilidae.